RNAcentral lists this ribosomal RNA (759 nucleotides) under Lindbergichthys nudifrons (yellowfin notie). Its description in RNAcentral is "Lepidonotothen nudifrons (yellowfin notie) partial 16S ribosomal RNA". It matches the Rfam family "Bacterial large subunit ribosomal RNA", at positions 696 to 1937 of the family's 2925-position model. The record is from RNAcentral. Lineage: Eukaryota; Metazoa; Chordata; Actinopteri; Perciformes; Nototheniidae.
AGCCUUUGAGUUUGUAAACCCGAAACUAAGGGAGCUACUCCAGGACAGCCUAAUAAUAGGGCAAACCCGUCUCUGUUGCAAAAGAGUGGGGCGAGCUUUGAGUAGAGGUGAUAAACCUACCGAACUUAGUUAUAGCUGGUUGCCCAAGAAAUGAAUAGUAGUUCAGCUUUACGGCUUCUCCCUUCACAUCAGUACAUGCAACCCCCUGAUUUUUUGAGAAACCAUAAAAGUUAUUCAAAAGGGGUACAGCCCUUUUGAAACAAGACACAACUUUACCAGGAGGGUAAAGAUCAUAAUUACAUAAGGUAAUUGACCUUGGUGGGCUCGAAAGCAGCCACCCCCUUAAGAAAGCGUCUAAGCUCAUAAGAAUGUUACCCCUCUCCCAAUUCUGAUCAUUUAAUCUUAUCCCCCUAAAUUUAUUGGGCCAUCCCAUGCCAACAUGGGAGUGACCAUGCUAAUAUGAGUAAUAAGAAAGCAAUGGCUUUUUCCCCGCACGCAUGUAAAUCGGAAUGGACCCCCCACCGAAAAUUAACGGCCCCAAUCACAGAGGGCAUGGGAAGAUAAACCAAACCACAAGAAAAUCCUCCAACAAACAACCGUUAACCCAACACAGGGGGGCCCCUAGGGAAAAACUAAAAGGGGGGGAAGGAACUUGGCAAACACAUGAAGCCUCGCCUGGUUACCAAAAAACAUCGCCUCUUGCAAAUAAUAAAUAAGAGGUCCCGCCUGCCCUGUGACUAUUAGUUUAACGGCCGCGGU